CAUGCCUUACACAUGCAAGUCGGACGGCAGCGCGGGUUUCGGCCUGGCGGCGAGUGGCGAACGGGUGAGUAAGACAUCGGAACGUGUCCUGGAGUGGGGGAUAGCCCGGCGAAAGCCGGAUUAAUACCGCAUACGCUCUGAGGAGGAAAGCGGGGGACCUUAGGGCCUCGCGCUCAAGGGGCGGCCGAUGGCAGAUUAGCUAGUUGGUAGGGUAAAGGCCUACCAAGGCGACGAUCUGUAGCUGGUCUGAGAGGACGACCAGCCACACUGGGACUGAGAC
This 280-nucleotide ribosomal RNA is filed under the name uncultured Burkholderia sp. Its description in RNAcentral is "partial 16S ribosomal RNA". It matches the Rfam family "Bacterial small subunit ribosomal RNA", at positions 43 to 325 of the family's 1533-position model. The record is from RNAcentral. Lineage: Bacteria; Pseudomonadati; Pseudomonadota; Betaproteobacteria; Burkholderiales; Burkholderiaceae.